RNAcentral lists this small RNA (125 nucleotides) under Marmota monax (woodchuck). Lineage: Eukaryota; Metazoa; Chordata; Mammalia; Rodentia; Sciuridae. The record is from RNAcentral.
GCCGGGUGUUGUGGUGCACACCUGUAAUCCCAGCAGCUUGGGAGGCUGAGACAGGAGAAUCACGAGUUCAAAGCCAGCCUUAGCAACUGUGAGGUGCCAAGAAACUCAGUGAGACCCUGUCUCUA